RNAcentral lists this long non-coding RNA (310 nucleotides) under Capsicum annuum. RNAcentral describes it as "long non-coding RNA (CANN_LNC016746)". Lineage: Eukaryota; Viridiplantae; Streptophyta; Magnoliopsida; Solanales; Solanaceae. The record is from RNAcentral.
AUGCUGAUGACGAUAGGAUUGAACUCCUCUUGUCCCAAGUCAAGGGCAAGGAUAUCACUGAGCUGAUUGCAAGCGGCAGGGAAAAGUUGGCUUCAGUACCUGCUGGUGGUGGUGGUGCAGUUGCUGUUGCUGCACCUGCCGGUGGAGCUGCUGCAGCACCAGCUGCCGAGGAGAAGAAAGAGGAAAAGAAGGAAGAGAAAGAGGAAUCUGAUGAAGUGAGAUGUUCCACCCAAUUUUAUGAGAAUGUUUCUUGCUUAAUAUCGCGUAUUUAUGCUAACAUGGUUGUCUGGUUUCAAUACUUUGCAGGACA